GACGAACGCUGGCGGCGAGCCUAAUACAUGCAAGUCGAGCGGACCGGAUUGGGGCUUGCCUUGAUUCGGUCAGCGGCGGACGGGUGAGUAACACGUGGGCAACCUGCCCGCCAGACCGGGAUAACUCCGGGAAACCGGAGCUAAUACCGGAUAACACCGAAGACCGCAUGGUCUUCGGUUGAAAGGCGGCCUUUGGGCUGUCACUUGCGGAUGGGCCCGCGGCGCAUUAGCUAGUUGGUGAGGUAACGGCUCACCAAGGCGACGAUGCGUAGCCGGCAUGAGAGGGUGACCGGCCACACUGGGACUGAGACACGGCCCAGACUCCUACGGGAGGCAGCAGUAGGGAAUCUUCCGCAAUGGGCGAAAGCCUGACGGAGCGACGCCGCGUGAGCGAAGAAGGCCUUCGGGUCGUAAAGCUCUGUUGUGAGGGACGAAGGAGCGUCGUUCGAAGAGGGCGGCGCGGUGACGGUACCUCACGAGAAAGCCCCGGCUAACUACGUGCCAGCCGCCGCGGUAA
Molecule: ribosomal RNA, 517 nt
Filed under: uncultured bacterium
Lineage: Bacteria
Description: partial 16S ribosomal RNA
Rfam family: Bacterial small subunit ribosomal RNA
Source: RNAcentral